This 397-nucleotide ribosomal RNA is filed under the name uncultured bacterium. RNAcentral's name for it is "partial 16S ribosomal RNA". It matches the Rfam family "Bacterial small subunit ribosomal RNA", at positions 523 to 918 of the family's 1533-position model. The record is from RNAcentral.
AUACGUAGGGGGCGAGCGUUGUCCGGAAUGACUGGGCGUAAAGGGCGUGUAGGCGGCGCUGUAAGUCUGGAGUGAAAGUCCCGUUUUCAAGGCGGGAAACGCUUUGGAUACUCGGAAGGUUGAGUUCGGAAUAGGUAAGAGGAAUUUCUAGUGGGGCGGGGGAAUGCGUAGAGAUUGGGAGGAACACCAGUGGCGAAGGCGACUUACUGGGCCGUAACUGACGCUGAGGCGCGAAAGCGUGGGGAGCGAACAGGAUUAGAUACCCUGGUAGUCCACGCGGUAAACGAUGAAUGCUAGGUGUUGCGGGUAUCGACCCCUGCAGUGCCGGAGUAAACACAAUAAGCAUUCCGCCUGGGGAGUACGGCCGCAAGGUUGAAACUCAAAGGAAUUGACGGGG